This 72-nucleotide transfer RNA is filed under the name Bos taurus (domestic cattle). It matches the Rfam family "tRNA". From Rfam's summary of the family: Transfer RNA (tRNA) molecules are approximately 80 nucleotides in length. Their secondary structure includes four short double-helical elements and three loops (D, anti-codon, and T loops). Lineage: Eukaryota; Metazoa; Chordata; Mammalia; Artiodactyla; Bovidae. RNAcentral also lists the same sequence under 1 other name. The record is from Rfam by way of RNAcentral.
UCCCUGGUGUCUCAGAUGGUAAAGAAUCUGCCUGCAAUGCGGGAGACCUGGGUUCAAUCCCUGGUUUGGGAA